CACGUAGGCGGCCUGGUAAGUCAGAUCGUGAAAGCCCGGGGCUUAACCCCGGAAGUGCAUUUGAUACUGUCAGGCUUGAGUAUGGGAGAGGGAAGUGGAAUUCCUGGUGUAGAGGUGAAAUUCGUAGAUAUCAGGAGGAACACCGGUGGCGAAGGCGACUUCCUGGACCAAUACUGACGCUGAGGUGCGAAAGCGUGGGUAGCGAACA
RNAcentral lists this ribosomal RNA (208 nucleotides) under uncultured bacterium. Its description in RNAcentral is "partial 16S ribosomal RNA". It matches the Rfam family "Bacterial small subunit ribosomal RNA", at positions 568 to 774 of the family's 1533-position model. The record is from RNAcentral.